AGAGUUUGAUCCUGGCUCAGGAUGAACGCUGGCGGCGUGCUUAACACAUGCAAGUCGAACGAACCUUCGGGUUAGUGGCGGACGGGUGAGUAACGCGUGAGAAUCUGCCCUCAGGAGGGGGAUAACGGUUGGGAACGACCGCUAAUACCCCAUAUGCCUACUGGUGAAAUGAAUUUCGCCUGAGGAUGAGCUCGCGUCUGAUUAGCUAGUUGGUGAGGUAAUGGCUCACCAAGGCUUCGAUCAGUAGCUGGUCUGAGAGGAUGAUCAGCCACACUGGGACUGAGACACGGCCCAGACUCCUACGGGAGGCAGCAGUGGGGAAUUUUCCGCAAUGGGCGAAAGCCUGACGGAGCAACGCCGCGUGAGGGACGAAGGCCUCUGGGCUGUAAACCUCUUUUCUCAAGGAAGAAGAUAUGACGGUACUUGAGGAAUAAGCCACGGCUAAUUCCGUGCCAGCAGCCGCGGUAAUACGGGAGUGGCAAGCGUUAUCCGGAAUUAUUGGGCGUAAAGCGUCCGCAGGCGGCUUUUCAAGUCUGCUGUUAAAGCGUGGAGCUUAACUCCAUCAUGGCAGUGGAAACUGAAAGGCUUGAGUAUGGUAGGGGCAGAGGGAAUUCCCGGGGUAGCGGUGAAAUGCGUAGAUAUCGGGAAGAACACCAGUGGCGAANGCGCUCUGCUGGGCCAUUACUGACGCUCAUGGACGAAAGCCAGGGGA
This 712-nucleotide ribosomal RNA is filed under the name uncultured Prochlorococcus sp. RNAcentral describes it as "bacterial SSU rRNA". It matches the Rfam family "Bacterial small subunit ribosomal RNA", at positions 8 to 767 of the family's 1533-position model. The record is from RNAcentral. Lineage: Bacteria; Bacillati; Cyanobacteriota; Cyanophyceae; Synechococcales; Prochlorococcaceae.